This 242-nucleotide long non-coding RNA is filed under the name Elaeis guineensis (African oil palm). RNAcentral describes it as "long non-coding RNA (EGUI_LNC051938)". Lineage: Eukaryota; Viridiplantae; Streptophyta; Magnoliopsida; Arecales; Arecaceae. The record is from RNAcentral.
GAUGCUCUAUAGCUGAGAUACAUGCUCCUCAUCCUGAGAUGCACGCUCCUCAGCCUAAGCUGCCUGCGCCAAGGCCUCGUCAAGCUACUCCUGGCUGACGACCCCAGAAGCAUGUAAGGAGAUGCUUGCCUCAGACCAAUAUCUCAUCGGUACAUGUCUGGGCUUGCAACGAAUCCUCCCAGAGUGCUUAGGUCACAAGACCUAAGAUAGAUGGUCAUAAGAGCCAGAGGUGUCUGGGCCCU